UCUGGUGACUAUAGAGAGAUGGCCCCACCCGUUCCCAUCCCGAACACGGCAGUGAAACAUCUGAUCGCCGAUGGUAGUGCAUCUAUAGGUUGUGCGAGAGUAGGUCGUUGCCAGUA
Molecule: ribosomal RNA, 116 nt
Filed under: Opitutia bacterium Tous-C4FEB
Lineage: Bacteria; Pseudomonadati; Verrucomicrobiota; Opitutia
Source: RNAcentral